AGCUAACAGGUAUCCAUAAAUACUUAUCAGAUCUUUGGCAUGUGUCAGCCACUAUUCUAAGCAUCUUGAAAGAUUUAGCUUAUUUAAUCUUCCUCUGUAGGCAACCAUAUGAGGUAGAUAUGUUCUUGAUAUAGCAAAGACAGCUCAGCCUGAAAGGGUUAAAAAUCUCAGCUAACCCAUACAGCUAAUAAGAUGCCAAGAUUAUCACCCAGGAAGGAAUUUGUGUCCAGAGCCUCUGACCUUAAGCACUCUACAGGAAUGGCAUGCUUCUCAGUCACCUGUGUGUCAGGUGGAAGUGUCACCAAAUACAACUAAGUGCAUAAAAUUGCCAAGAGCUUCCCUGAGUCAAGGACGGGUCUCUCCAAUGCUUUGCUUUUUAAGCAUCUGCUAUCCACUGACAGAACCUUGCUGUGAGAGUCUUUGCUUGUGAACUUGAAUUCCUUUGACCAACAAACCUGAUGUUUUUCUAGUUACCUGGCUCUCCUCACUUGUGUUCCUAAUGUUUCUUCCUCCCCUCUUACUCUGAGCUCAUGUUUUUGACUGCAGUACUCCUCUGUUUGAACAUCUCUCCUCACCCUAUGCAGUCCACCCCCCAUCCAGCCUCUCAUCUCCACAGGAAGGGUUUACUAAAGUUAUCAUAUGGUUAGUCCCCACCAAAAUGUGGAUGUGAGGCUUGGUGCCCCAGGGGGCAGUGUUGGGAGGGGAUGCCUUUAAAAGGUGAUUGAAAGGAUCAUGAAAAGGGAUCAAUGUUUGGUUUUGCAUGAAUGAGUUGUCAAUGUUCCAGGAUUGGAUUUGUACCCUGACAGCAGAUUGGGGUAAAGUGAGUUGGGUUCCCUUUGGCUCUUCUUCUGGCUUCCUCUCUCAUGGGGCAACUUCCCUGUCUCACCUACACAUUCCUGCCAUGUAAUGCCAUCCACCAUGUUAUGACACAGCAAGGGGUCCUUGCCAGAUAUAGCAACCUGAUCUUGGAUUUCUAUUCUCUAGAACUGUGAGCCAAGUAUACCUUUCUCUUUUAUAAAUCACCCAACCUCGGGUAUUUUGCUAUAACAAUAAGACUAAGACAGGGUCUACAACCUUUGUACUGACAAAUACUUUAGACAAAUAACAGUGAG
RNAcentral lists this long non-coding RNA (1112 nucleotides) under Marmota monax (woodchuck). Lineage: Eukaryota; Metazoa; Chordata; Mammalia; Rodentia; Sciuridae. The record is from RNAcentral.